Gautieria morchelliformis is the source of this 91-nucleotide non-coding RNA. The record is from the annotation of a GenBank genome assembly. Lineage: Eukaryota; Fungi; Basidiomycota; Agaricomycetes; Gomphales; Gomphaceae.
GGUGAGAUGGCCGAGUUGGUCUAAGGCGUCAGACUAAGGCUACCGUAAUCUGAUCUCUUCGGGGGCGUGGGUUCGAAUCCCACUCUCAUCA